RNAcentral lists this ribosomal RNA (189 nucleotides) under Rhizophora apiculata. RNAcentral describes it as "partial small subunit ribosomal RNA". It matches the Rfam family "Eukaryotic small subunit ribosomal RNA", at positions 1015 to 1204 of the family's 1831-position model. The record is from RNAcentral. Lineage: Eukaryota; Viridiplantae; Streptophyta; Magnoliopsida; Malpighiales; Rhizophoraceae.
CCGUCCUAGUCUCAACCAUAAACGAUGCCGACCAGGGAUCGGCGGAAGUUGCUUUUAGGACUCCGCCGGCACCUUAUGAGAAAUCAAAGUCUUUGGGUUCCGGGGGGAGUAUGGUCGCAAGGCUGAAACUUAAAGGAAUUGACGGAAGGGCACCACCAGGAGUGGAGCCUGCGGCUUAAUUGACUCAAC